CGUGCGGUUCUAUUUUGUUGGUUUCUAGAGUCGCCGUAAUGAUUAAUAGGGAUAGUUGGGGGCAUUAGUAUUCAGUUGCUAGAGGUGAAAUUCUUGGAUUUACUGAAGACUAACUUCUGCGAAAGCAUUUGCCAAGGAUGUUUUCAUUAAUCAAGAACGAAGGUUAGGGGAUCGAAAACGAUCAGAUACCGUCGUAGUCUUAACCAUAAACUAUGCCGACUAGGGAUCGGGCGGUGUUCAACUUAUGACCCGCUCGGCACCUUACGAGAAAUCAAAGUUUUUGGGUUCUGGGGGGAGUAUGGUCGCAAGGCUGAAACUUAAAGGAAUUGACGGAAGGGCACCACCAGAUGUGGAGCCUGCGGCUUAAUUUGACUCAACACGG
Molecule: ribosomal RNA, 382 nt
Filed under: uncultured fungus
Lineage: Eukaryota; Fungi
Description: SSU rRNA
Rfam family: Eukaryotic small subunit ribosomal RNA
Source: RNAcentral